Molecule: unclassified non-coding RNA, 20 nt
Filed under: Chlamydomonas reinhardtii
Lineage: Eukaryota; Viridiplantae; Chlorophyta; Chlorophyceae; Chlamydomonadales; Chlamydomonadaceae
Description: small RNA Cre_4070
Source: RNAcentral
UUGUGGUUGCAUUACAAGCA